AUUGAACGCUGGCGGCAUGCUUUACACAUGCAAGUCGAACGGCAGCGCGGGCUUCGGCCUGGCGGCGAGUGGCGAACGGGUGAGUAAUGCAUCGGAACGUGCCCAGUCGUGGGGGAUAGCCCGGCGAAAGCCGGAUUAAUACCGCAUACGACCUGAGGGUGAAAGCGGGGGACCGAAAGGCCUCGCGCUAUUGGAGCGGCCGAUGUCGGAUUAGCUAGUUGGUGGGGUAAAGGCUUACCAAGGCGACGAUCCGUAGCUGGUCUGAGAGGACGACCCGCCACACUGGGACUGAGACACGGCCCAGACUCCUACGGGAGGCAGCAGUGGGGAAUUUUGGACAAUGGGGGCAACCCUGAUCCAGCCAUGCCGCGUGCGGGAAGAAGGCCUUCGGGUUGUAAACCGCUUUUGUUCGGGAAGAAAUCCUCUGGGCUAAUACCCCGGGGGGAUGACGGUACCGGAAGAAUAAGCACCGGCUAACUACGUG
Molecule: ribosomal RNA, 484 nt
Filed under: uncultured bacterium
Lineage: Bacteria
Description: partial 16S ribosomal RNA
Rfam family: Bacterial small subunit ribosomal RNA
Source: RNAcentral